GAUGAACGCUGGCGGCGUGCCUAACACAUGCAAGUCGUACGAGCUCGAUCUUCGGAACGGGUUAGUGGCGCACGGGUGAGUAACACGUAGGUGACCUACCCCAGAGUGGGGGAUAACUUCUCGAAAGAGAGGCUAAUACCGCAUACACUCGGUCAUUCAUUUGGCCGAGCAAAGCUCCGGCGCUUUGGGACGGGCCUGCGUCCGAUUAGCUAGUUGGUAGGGUAAUGGCUUACCAAGGCUUUGAUCGGUAGCUGGUCUGAGAGGACGAUCAGCCACACUGGCACUGACACACGGGCCAGACUCCUACGGGAGGCAGCAGUGAGGAAUAUUGGGCAAUGGGCGAAAGCCUGACCCAGCAACGCCGCGUGAGGGAUGAAGGCCUUCGGGUUGUAAACCUCUUUCUGGAGAAGAGACAAGGACGGUAUCCCAGGAAUAAGUACUCGGCUAACUACGUGCCAGCAGCCGCGGU
Molecule: ribosomal RNA, 469 nt
Filed under: uncultured bacterium
Lineage: Bacteria
Description: bacterial SSU rRNA
Rfam family: Bacterial small subunit ribosomal RNA
Source: RNAcentral